This 274-nucleotide ribosomal RNA is filed under the name uncultured bacterium. RNAcentral's name for it is "partial 16S ribosomal RNA". It matches the Rfam family "Bacterial small subunit ribosomal RNA", at positions 523 to 796 of the family's 1533-position model. The record is from RNAcentral.
AUACGGAGGGGGUUAGCGUUGUUCGGAAUUACUGGGCGUAAAGCGCACGUAGGCGGACUGGAAAGUUGGGGGUGAAAUCCCGGGGCUCAACCCCGGAACUGCCUCCAAAACUUCCAAUCUAGAGAUCGAGAGAGGUGAGUGGAAUUCCAAGUGUAGAGGUGAAAUUCGUAGAUAUUUGGAGGAACACCAGUGGCGAAGGCGGCUCACUGGCUCGAUUCUGACGCUGAGGUGCGAAAGCGUGGGGAGCAAACAGGAGUAGAAACCCUAGUAGUCC